GAUGAAGAACGCAGCAAAAUGCGAUAAGUAAUGUGAAUUGCAGAAUUCAGUGAAUCAUCGAAUCUUUGAACGCACAUUGCGCCCGCCAGUAUUCUGUCGGGCAUGCCUGUUCGAGCGUCAUUUCAACCCUCAAGCACAGCUUGGUGUUGGGACUCGCGUUAAUUCGCGUUCCCCAAAUUGAUUGGCGGUCACGUCGAGCUUCCAUAGCGUAGUAGUAAAACCCUCGUUACUGGUAAUCGUCGCGGCCACGCCGUUAAACCCCAACUUCUGAAUGUUGACCUCGGAUCAGGUAGGAAUACCCGCUGAACUUAAGCAUAUCAAUAAGCGGAGGA
This 332-nucleotide unclassified non-coding RNA is filed under the name soil metagenome. Its description in RNAcentral is "partial contains 5.8S ribosomal RNA, internal transcribed spacer 2, and large subunit ribosomal RNA". The stretch from base 1 to 120 matches the Rfam family "5.8S ribosomal RNA", at positions 35 to 154 of the family's 154-position model. The record is from RNAcentral.